RNAcentral lists this ribosomal RNA (465 nucleotides) under uncultured bacterium. Its description in RNAcentral is "partial 16S ribosomal RNA". It matches the Rfam family "Bacterial small subunit ribosomal RNA", at positions 339 to 795 of the family's 1533-position model. The record is from RNAcentral.
CUACGGGUCGCUCCAGUGGGGAAUAUUGGACAAUGGGGGAAACCUUGAUCCAGCAAUGCCGCGUGUGUGAAGAAGGCCUGCGGGUUGUAAAGCACUUUCGGUUGGGAGGACUGCUUCUAGCACUAAUAUUGUUGGAAGUUGACGUUACCUUCAGAAGAAGCACCGGCUAACUCCGUGCCAGCAGCCGCGGUAAUACGGAGGGUGCAAGUGUGAAUCGGAAUUACUGGGCGUAAAGCGCGCGUAGGCGGCUAGAUCAGUCGGGUGUGAAAGCCCCGGGCUUAACCUGGGAACUGCAUCCGAUACUGUCUAGCUUGAGUACAGGAGAGGAGAGUGGAAUUCCACAUGUAGCGGUGAAAUGCGUAGAUAUGUGGAGGAACACCAAUGGCGAAGGCAGCUCUCUGGCCUGAUACUGACGCUGAGGUGCGAAAGCGUGGGGAGCAAACAGGAUUAGAUACCCUCGUAGUC